AUUUAUAUAGUAUAAAAUAGUAUAUUUGACUUCCAAUCAUAAGGUUUAAAAUAUUUAAUAUAAAUA
This 66-nucleotide transfer RNA is filed under the name Pterygota sp. 3 LC-2017. RNAcentral describes it as "tRNA-Gly". Lineage: Eukaryota; Metazoa; Arthropoda; Insecta. The record is from RNAcentral.